UUAGACACAAGACCACCCUGCAGCCCAAGAGCGGUUACUCACUCAAGCUAAGCAGGGCUGAGCCUGGUUAGUACCUGGAUGGGAGACCACUAGGUUGCUGUUGGAAGUGGUGUUAG
RNAcentral lists this ribosomal RNA (116 nucleotides) under Danio rerio (zebrafish). Lineage: Eukaryota; Metazoa; Chordata; Actinopteri; Cypriniformes; Danionidae. The record is from RNAcentral.